GGGAUUGCCUCAGUAACGGCGAGUGAAGCGGCAACAGCUCAAAUUUUAAAGCUGGCGUCUUCGGCGCCCGCGUUGUAAUUUGGAGAGGCAACUUCGGUUUGGGCGCCAGCCUAUGUUCCUUGGAACAGGACGUCACAGAGGGUGAGAAUCCCGUGCUUGGCUGGCUGUCCCUUUCCAUGUGAAGUGCCUUCGACGAGUCGAGUUGUUUGGGAAUGCAGCUCAAAAUGGGUGGUAAAUUCCAUCUAAAGCUAAAUAUUGGCGGGAGACCGAUAGCGCACAAGUAGAGUGAUCGAAAGAUGAAAAGCACUUUGAAAAUAGAGUUAAAAAGUACGUGAAAUUGUUGAAAGGGAAGCGCUUGAGACCAGACUCGGCCGGAGAUGAUCAGCCGUCCUUCUGGGCGGUGCACUUGUCUCCGGUCGGGCCAGCAUCGGUUGAGACGGCGGGAUAAAGGCCCGGGGAAUGUGGCUCCUUUUGGGGAGUGUUAUAGCCCCGGGCGCAAUGCCGCCAGCCUCGACCGAGGACCGCGCUUUUUGCUAGGAUGCUGGCGUAAUGGUCUUCAGCGACCCGUCUUGAAACACGGACCAAGGAGUCUAACAUCUAUGCGAGUGUUUGGGUGUCAAACCCUUGCGCGUAAUGAAAGUGAACGGAGGUGGGAACCCCCUCGCGGGGCGCACCAUCGACCGGUCCUGAUGUCUUCGGAUGGAUCUGAGUAGGAGCAUAGCUGUUGGGACCCGAAAGAUGGUGAACUAUGCCUGAAUAGGGUGAAGCCAGAGGAAACUCUGGUGGAGGCUCGCAGCGGUUCUGACGUGCAAAUCGAUCGUCAAAUUUGGGUAUAGGGGCGAAAGACUAAUCGAACCAUCUAGUAGCUGG
This 870-nucleotide ribosomal RNA is filed under the name Gyromitra sp. RNAcentral's name for it is "partial large subunit ribosomal RNA". It matches the Rfam family "Eukaryotic large subunit ribosomal RNA", at positions 71 to 954 of the family's 3401-position model. The record is from RNAcentral. Lineage: Eukaryota; Fungi; Ascomycota; Pezizomycetes; Pezizales; Discinaceae.